This 325-nucleotide ribosomal RNA is filed under the name uncultured Butyrivibrio sp. RNAcentral's name for it is "bacterial SSU rRNA". It matches the Rfam family "Bacterial small subunit ribosomal RNA", at positions 28 to 339 of the family's 1533-position model. The record is from RNAcentral. Lineage: Bacteria; Bacillati; Bacillota; Clostridia; Lachnospirales; Lachnospiraceae.
GAUGAACGCUGGCGGCGUGCCUAACACAUGCAAGUCGAGCGGAGUCAAUUGCUGAUUCUUCGGAUGAUUUGAUUGACUUAGCGGCGGAUGGGUGAGUAACACGUGGGUAAUCUGCCCUGCACUGGGGGAUAACAGUUGGAAACGACUGUUAAUACCGCAUAUGCACACGGGGCCGCAUGGUUCCGGGUGGGAAAGAUUUAUCGGUGCAGGAUGAGCCCGCGUCGGAUUAACUAGUUGGCAGGGUAACGGCCUACCAAGGCGACGAUCGCUAGGGGUUCUGAGAGGAAGGUCCCCCACAUUGGAACUGAGACACGGUCCAGACUCC